GUGAUAAUGACCGUACUUCUUACAAUCAUUCGUCUUACUUUCCUGCUCUUUGUGACAUGCCUAGUUGUCGCUCUGGCCGACGAUACACCUGGAUGCAUCGAUCACAACGGAGUUAAAUUCUGUUAAACAUUUAUUUUUAAAAUAAAGUUCGAGUAU
Caenorhabditis elegans is the source of this 156-nucleotide long non-coding RNA. Ensembl annotates it as ncRNA. Its record names the gene linc-23. The record is from Ensembl. Lineage: Eukaryota; Metazoa; Nematoda; Chromadorea; Rhabditida; Rhabditidae.